UGCCAGCAGCCGCGGUAAUACGGAGGAUGCGAGCGUUAUCCGGAUUUAUUGGGUUUAAAGGGUGCGCAGGCUGUUUGUUAAGUCAGAGGUGAAAUCCCGGAGCUCAACUCCGGAACGGCCUAUGAUACUGGCAAACUUGAGUGUAAUUGAAGUGGGCGGAAUAUGUCAUGUAGCGGUGAAAUGCAUAGAUAUGACAUAGAACACCGAUAGCGAAGGCAGCUCACUAACUUACAACUGACGCUCAUGCACGAAAGCGUGGGGAGCGAACAGGAUUAGAUA
RNAcentral lists this ribosomal RNA (279 nucleotides) under uncultured bacterium. RNAcentral's name for it is "partial 16S ribosomal RNA". It matches the Rfam family "Bacterial small subunit ribosomal RNA", at positions 506 to 784 of the family's 1533-position model. The record is from RNAcentral.